This 1013-nucleotide ribosomal RNA is filed under the name Mucor guilliermondii. RNAcentral describes it as "SSU rRNA". It matches the Rfam family "Eukaryotic small subunit ribosomal RNA", at positions 85 to 1096 of the family's 1831-position model. Lineage: Eukaryota; Fungi; Mucoromycota; Mucoromycetes; Mucorales; Mucoraceae. The record is from RNAcentral.
AACUGCGAAUGGCUCAUUAAAUCAGUUAUGAUCUACGUGACAUAUUCUUUACUACUUGGAUAACCGUGGUAAUUCUAGAGCUAAUACAUGCAAAAAAGCCCUGACUUACGAAGGGGUGCACUUAUUAGAUAAAGCCAACGCUGGGUAAAACCAGUUUCCCUUGGUGAUUCAUAAUAAUUAAGCGGAUCGCAUGGCCUUGUGCUAGCGACGGUCCACUCGAUUUUCUGCCCUAUCAUGGUUGAGAUUGUAAGAUAGAGGCUUACAAUGCCUACAACGGGUAACGGGGAAUUAGGGUUCGAUUCCGGAGAGGGAGCCUGAGAAACGGCUACCACAUCCAAGGAAGGCAGCAGGCGCGCAAAUUACCCAAUCCCGACACGGGGAGGUAGUGACAAUAAAUAACAAUGCAGGGCCUUUAAGGUCUUGCAAUUGGAAUGAGUACAAUUUAAAUCCCUUAACGAGGAUCAAUUGGAGGGCAAGUCUGGUGCCAGCAGCCGCGGUAAUUCCAGCUCCAAUAGCGUAUAUUAAAGUUGUUGCAGUUAAAACGUCCGUAGUCAAAUUUUAGUCUUUAGGCGAGGUGGCCUGGUCUUCAUUGAUCAAGCUCGCUUCCGCCGAGACUUUUUUUUUGGUUAUGCUAUGGGUGGCUUCGGUCGCUUGUAGUCUCUAGCCAAAUGAUUACCAUGAGCAAAUCAGAGUGUUUAAAGCAGGCUUUUAAGCUUGAAUGUGUUAGCAUGGAAUAAUGAAAUAUGACUUUAGUCCCUAUUUCGUUGGUUCAGGAACUUAAGUAAUGAUGAAUAGAAACGGUUGGGGGCAUUUGUAUUUGGCCGCUAGAGGUGAAAUUCUUGGAUUGGCCGAAGACAAACUACUGCGAAAGCAUUUGACCCAGGACGUUUUCAUUGAUCAAGGUCUAAAGUUAAGGGAUCGAAGACGAUUAGAUACCGUCGUAGUCUUAACCACAAACUAUGCCGACUAGAGAUUGGGCCUGUUUAUUAUGACUGGCUCAGCAUCUUAGCGAA